This 21-nucleotide non-coding RNA is filed under the name Caenorhabditis elegans. The record is from RNAcentral. Lineage: Eukaryota; Metazoa; Nematoda; Chromadorea; Rhabditida; Rhabditidae.
CGAAAGCCAUUGGAGAACCAC